RNAcentral lists this transfer RNA (74 nucleotides) under Lissachatina fulica (giant African snail). RNAcentral's name for it is "tRNA-Ile". The record is from RNAcentral. Lineage: Eukaryota; Metazoa; Mollusca; Gastropoda; Stylommatophora; Achatinidae.
GAGCAGCCGCCGGGCAUGAGCGGGAAUCAUUGAUGUUGAUUUAUAUAAGAAGUCUUAAGUCUUCUUGCUGCUUU